Molecule: ribosomal RNA, 805 nt
Filed under: uncultured Actinomycetes bacterium
Lineage: Bacteria; Bacillati; Actinomycetota; Actinomycetes
Description: bacterial SSU rRNA
Rfam family: Bacterial small subunit ribosomal RNA
Source: RNAcentral
GCUUGCUGCGGGUACUCGAGUGGCGAACGGGUGAGUAACACGUGGGUGAUCCGCCUUGCACUUCGGGAUAAGCUUGGGAAACUGGGUCUAAUACCGGAUAGGACAGCUGUUUAGUGUCAGUUGUGGAAAGUUUUUUCGGUGCAAGAUGAGCUCGCGGCCUAUCAGCCUUGUUGGUGGGGUAAUGGCCUACCAAGGCGUCGACGGGUAGCCGGCCUGAGAGGGUGUACGGCCACAUUGGGACUGAGAUACGGCCCAGACUCCUACGGGAGGCAGCAGUGGGGAAUAUUGCACAAUGGGCGGAAGCCUGAUGCAGCGACGCCGCGUGGGGGAUGAAGGCCUUCGGGUUGUAAACUCCUUUCGACAGGGACGAAGCGUAAGUGACGGUACCUGUAUAAGAAGCACCGGCUAACUACGUGCCAGCAGCCGCGGUAAUACGUAGGGUGCGAGCGUUGUCCGGAAUUACUGGGCGUAAAGAGCUCGUAGGUGGUUUGUCGCGUCGUCUGUGAAAUUCCGGGGCUUAACUCCGGGCGUGCAGGCGAUACGGGCUGACUUGAGUGCUGUAGGGGAGACUGGAAUUCCUGGUGUAGCGGUGAAAUGCGCAGAUAUCAGGAGGAACACCGAUGGCGAAGGCAGGUCUCUGGGCAGUAACUGACGCUGAGGAGCGAAAGCAUGGGUAGCGAACAGGAUUAGAUACCUGGUAGUCCAUGCCGUAAACGGUGGGCGCUAGGUGUAGGGGGCUUCCACGUCUUCUGUGCCGUAGCUAACGCAUUAAGCGCCCCGCCUGGGGAGUACGGCCGCAAGGCUA